This 484-nucleotide ribosomal RNA is filed under the name uncultured bacterium. RNAcentral describes it as "partial 16S ribosomal RNA". It matches the Rfam family "Bacterial small subunit ribosomal RNA", at positions 30 to 507 of the family's 1533-position model. The record is from RNAcentral.
AUUGAACGCUGGCGGCAGGCCUAACACAUGCAAGUCGAGCGGAUGAAGGGAGCUUGCUCCUGGAUUCAGCGGCGGACGGGUGAGUAAUGCCUAGGAAUCUGCCUGGUAGUGGGGGAUAACGUCCGGAAACGGGCGCUAAUACCGCAUACGUCCUGAGGGAGAAAGUGGGGGAUCUUCGGACCUCACGCUAUCAGAUGAGCCUAGGUCGGAUUAACUAGUUGGUGGGGUAAAGGCCUACCAAGGCGACGAUCCGUAACUGGUCUGAGAGGAUGAUCAGUCACACUGGAACUGAGACACGGUCCAGACUCCUACGGGAGGCAGCAGUGGGGAAUAUUGGACAAUGGGCGAAAGCCUGAUCCAGCCAUGCCGCGUGUGUGAAGAAGGUCUUCGGAUUGUAAAGCACUUUAAGUUGGGAGGAAGGGCAGUAAGUUAAUACCUUGCUGUUUUGACGGUACCAACAGAAUAAGCACCGGCUAACUUCGUG